Molecule: unclassified non-coding RNA, 327 nt
Filed under: Auriculariales sp.
Lineage: Eukaryota; Fungi; Basidiomycota; Agaricomycetes; Auriculariales
Description: partial contains 5.8S ribosomal RNA, internal transcribed spacer 2, and large subunit ribosomal RNA
Rfam family: 5.8S ribosomal RNA (bases 1-71)
Source: RNAcentral
GUGAAUCAUCGAAUCUUUGAACGCACCUUGCGCCCCAUGGUAUUCCGUGGGGCAUGCCUGUUUGAGUGUCACGUGAACCUCUCACUCGUGUCUUGCCGUGAGGCUUGGCACGCGGUGGACUUGGACUGUGCCGUUGUUGGCUCGUCUUGAAAUGCAUUAGCUGUGCUGCGCGAUUUCGGCCGCCUGGUGUGAUAAAUAUCUACGCCAACUUAUGCGUCGUCAUCCGUGUGUGUGGCUCAUAACCGUCUUCAUUGACACACUUUAACGCUCUGGCCUCAAAUCAGGUAGGACUACCCGCUGAACUUAAGCAUAUCAAUAAGCGGAGGA